This 341-nucleotide unclassified non-coding RNA is filed under the name soil metagenome. Its description in RNAcentral is "partial contains 5.8S ribosomal RNA, internal transcribed spacer 2, and large subunit ribosomal RNA". The stretch from base 1 to 120 matches the Rfam family "5.8S ribosomal RNA", at positions 35 to 154 of the family's 154-position model. The record is from RNAcentral.
GAUGAAGAACGCAGCGAAAUGCGAUAAGUAAUGUGAAUUGCAGAAUUCAGUGAAUCAUCGAAUCUUUGAACGCACAUUGCGCCCGCCAGCAUUCUGGCGGGCAUGCCUGUUCGAGCGUCAUUUCAACCCUCGAGCCCCCCCGGGGGCCUCGGUGUUGGGGGACGGCACACCAGCCGCCCCCGAAAUGCAGUGGCGACCCCGCCGCAGCCUCCCCUGCGUAGUAGCACACACCUCGCACCGGAGCGCGGAGGCGGUCACGCCGUAAAACGCCCAACUUUCUUAGAGUUGACCUCGGAUCAGGUAGGAAUACCCGCUGAACUUAAGCAUAUCAAUAGCGGAGA